This 148-nucleotide non-coding RNA is filed under the name Nomascus leucogenys (northern white-cheeked gibbon). The record is from Rfam by way of RNAcentral. Lineage: Eukaryota; Metazoa; Chordata; Mammalia; Primates; Hylobatidae.
GCCAGGCAUGGUGGUGCGUGCCUGUAAUCCCAGCUACUCGGGAAGCUGAGGCAGGAGAAUCACUUGAACCUGGGAGGCAUAGGUUACAGUGAGCUGAGAUGGUGCCACUGCACUCUAGCCUGGGUGAUAUAGUGAGACUUUGUCUCAA